RNAcentral lists this long non-coding RNA (1920 nucleotides) under Oryctolagus cuniculus (rabbit). Its description in RNAcentral is "lncRNA (ENSOCUG00000038340.1)". Lineage: Eukaryota; Metazoa; Chordata; Mammalia; Lagomorpha; Leporidae. The record is from RNAcentral.
GUUAAAAAAAAGUCCCGGCAUUGUGUCUGUCACAGCUUUGAAAGCCGAGAAGCAAAGACAAAGUUUUGUGGUGGAAUCCUUAAAUCUACGUUGCAAGGUUUUUGGGUACCGCAGAGCCCCUCAGUCACGCAGACAGAGCAGUGGGUGCGGUCUGUGGUCGACAGGCACUGGAGCGUGUCUGUGAACACGCGUGUGUGUACACACGGACUCGGACAGAAUCCCAGCUGCCGCGGGACGGGCCGGCUCCUUCCUGGGACAGACCACCUACCUGUUCCCAGGGGACGCUGCGUGAGGACGCAUCCCGCCGUGCAGGCAGGGGAGUGUCGGUGCCGAGGGCGGUGGGCAGAACCACACGGGUUUGGACCUGGAGGAGUCCCCAGAGCAGUGCCUGUAGGACAGAGCGUCCAAGUGUCCAGCGCGUGUCUCUCGCAGGAAGGCCACCUGUGGCCGCCGCCCACGUCUCCUCCUGUGCUCAGGCCCUGUGUCCUGGCACCCUGGCUAACACCUGUCUCUCCUUUCCAUUGGAAGGUGGCUGUAGCAACCGUGGCAACUGCUGCAACGGAUAUGAUUGCCUGUGAGCCCGAUGAAUAUCUGGUUGAAAACUACUGCUGUAGAUUCUGCCCAGCGGGCCACUUCGUCAGCGGGCUGUGUUCACAGAACCACAGCAUUGGAGAGUGCGAGCCGUGCAGGCCUGGGACGUUCAUGGCCUACCCCAGCAGUGAGGCGUCCUGCUCCCCGUGCAGCCCCUGCCGGCCCGGUAAGUGUGCAGCCUCGCCCGGGGGCACUGGCUCCACUGAUUUUUUUUUUUUUUUUUUUUUGAGAUUUAUUUAUUUGAAAGGCAAAGUGAUGGAGGUCUUCCAUCCACUGGUUCACUCCCCAAAAGGCCGCAACAGCCAGGUCUGGUCCAGGCCAAAGCUGGAAGCCAGGAGCUCCAUCGUGGUUUCCUGCAUGGGUGGCAGGGGCCCAAGUACUUGAGCCGUCGUCGGCUGUGUUCCCAGGUGCCCGAGGAGGAAGCUGGAUCGGAAGCAGAGUAGCCAGGACUCGAACCUGCGCUCCCGUGUGGGAUGCCAGGGUCGCGAGCAUCCGCGUACCCUGCCGCACCCCAGUGCCAGCCCCUAACUGCUUAGUUGCUGUAGACGGUAUUAAUAUAUGAGUCGCUGAGUUACCGUAGCAGCGACAGAUUGUUUUGUUUUUGCUUUUAAAGAUGUAUUUGUUUAUUUGAAAGGCAUAGCAUCUCCGUCCUCUGUUUCACUCCCCAAAUGGCCACAACAGCCGGGGCUGGGCCAGGCCGGAGCCAGGAGCUGGGAGUUCCAUCCUGGCCUCCCAGCUGGGUGGCAGGAGCCUAAGCGCUUGGGCCAUCGCUGUCGCCUUCCCAGCGCGUGAGCAGGAUGCCGCACUGCAGAGCAGCCGGGACCUGGCGUGGCACUCGGGUACAGGGGUGCAGGUGUCGCAUGCAGCACUGUGCCCACACGCUGGCUCUGGUGACUUGUUCUUUAGAAAAGAUACUGUUUGUGUUAGCAAACAAGCAAACAACAGCCCGUGACACCUGGAACAAAGCUUAGUAAGGGGUGCAUAAAAUGUCCCCGUGGGCAGGCAGGUGAGAGAGACCCCCAGCGCGUAGAGAGGUGGUGGGCGCUCUGCCGUGUCCGUGGGGGAGUGCCAGGUGCAGCCCCCAGCUCCAACUGCAGCUCCUGCGGCGCCAUGGGAGACCUGGACGGAGUUCCCAGCUCUCGGCUGCGGCCCCAGCUGUUGGAGCACCUGGGGAACGAGAGCACGGCCAUUCGUCCCCUCUCUGCGUCCUCUAUGUGCGUCCCUCUGUCUGCGUCCCUCAGUCUGCGUCCCUCUCUGUGCGUCCCUCUCUCUGCGUCCCCUCUCUCUGUGUCCCCUCUCUGGGCGUCCCUCUCUCUGCAUCCCCUCUCU